GCUCAGUUGGUUAAGUGUCCAACUCUUGAUUUCGGCUCAGGUCAUGAUCUCAUGGUUUGUGGGAUCGAAUCCCGCAUUGGGUU
This 83-nucleotide transfer RNA is filed under the name Felis catus (domestic cat). It matches the Rfam family "tRNA". From Rfam's summary of the family: Transfer RNA (tRNA) molecules are approximately 80 nucleotides in length. RNAcentral also lists the same sequence under 5 other names. The record is from Rfam by way of RNAcentral. Lineage: Eukaryota; Metazoa; Chordata; Mammalia; Carnivora; Felidae.